This 73-nucleotide transfer RNA is filed under the name Marmota monax (woodchuck). Its description in RNAcentral is "tRNA.Ala". The record is from RNAcentral. Lineage: Eukaryota; Metazoa; Chordata; Mammalia; Rodentia; Sciuridae.
GUGGGAUUCUGGCUCACUGGUAGAACAUUUGCUUAGCACGCUUGAGGUACUGGGUUCGAUCCUCAGGACCACA